Molecule: ribosomal RNA, 404 nt
Filed under: uncultured bacterium
Lineage: Bacteria
Description: bacterial SSU rRNA
Rfam family: Bacterial small subunit ribosomal RNA
Source: RNAcentral
GACGAACGCUGGCGGCGUGCUUAACACAUGCAAGUCGAGCGGUAAGGCCUUUCGGGGUACACGAGCGGCGCACGGGUGAGUAAUACAUCGGAACGUGUCCUUUCGUGGGGGAUAACCAGUCGAAAGAUUGGCUAAUACCGCAUGAGAUCUCACGAUGAAAGCGGGGGACCCGGAGGGUAACUUCGGGCCUCGCGCGAUUGGAGCGGCCGAUGUCGGAUUAGCUAGUUGGCGGGGUAAAAGCCCACCAAGGCGACGAUCCGUAGCUGGUUUGUAGAGAACGACCAGCCACACUGGGACUGAGACACGGCCCAGACUCCUACGGGAGGCAGCAGUGGGGAAUUUUGGACAAUGGGGGCGAACCCUGAUCCAGCCAUGCCGCGUGUGUGAAGAAGGCCUCGUUGUAA